Molecule: ribosomal RNA, 121 nt
Filed under: Sinocyclocheilus rhinocerous
Lineage: Eukaryota; Metazoa; Chordata; Actinopteri; Cypriniformes; Cyprinidae
Source: RNAcentral
CAUGGCAGCCAUAUCACCCUGUAGCCCAAGACUGGUUGCCCACUGAAGCUAAGCAGGGCUGAGCCUGGUCAGUACCUGGAUGGUGGUUGCAAACUGAAACAACCACUGGGAGUCUGCAUGU